This 89-nucleotide transfer RNA is filed under the name Trueperella sp. RNAcentral describes it as "tRNA-Ser". It matches the Rfam family "tRNA". From Rfam's summary of the family: Transfer RNA (tRNA) molecules are approximately 80 nucleotides in length. Lineage: Bacteria; Bacillati; Actinomycetota; Actinomycetes; Actinomycetales; Actinomycetaceae. The record is from RNAcentral.
GGUGGAGUGUCCGAGAGGCCGAAGGUGCAGCACUCGAAAUGCUGUGUGGUCAAUAGCCACCGUGGGUUCAAAUCCCACCUCCACCGCCA